UAUGUGAUCGUCUCUCGCAUAUCAAUAAGCGGAGGAAAAGAAACUAACAAGGAUUCCCCUAGUAACGGCGAGUGAAGCGGGAAGAGCUCAAAUUUGAAAUCUUAAAGGGUUUCCCUUUACGAAUUGUAGUUUAAAGAAGUGUUUUCUGUUGAGGUUUUGGUAAAAGUUCUUUGGAAUAGGACAUCAUAGAGGGUGAGAAUCCCGUAUUUGACCUUUACUUUCAACUUUGUGAUACACUUUCAAAGAGUCGGAUUGUUUGGGAAUGCAGUCCAAAAUGGGUGGUAAAUUUCAUCUAAAGCUAAAUAUUGGCGAGAGACCGAUAGCGAACAAGUACCGUGAGGGAAAGAUGAAAAGAACUUUGAAAAGAGUGUUAAACAGUACGUGAAAUUGUCAAAAGGGAAGCGUUUGACACCAGUGUUGUUUUUCUGAAAAUCAAUUAAAGAACUGUUUAUGCUAAGCUGUUUAGACUUUAUCAGCUAUCUGUUUAGUUUUGAGCUUUUCUUUAAUGCACUUUUCAGUUAACAAGUCAACAUCAAUUUCUUUUGCUGUAAAAAAGCUUGAGGAAGGUGGCUUGAGAUUCGUCUUAAGUGUUUAUAGCCUCUUGCCUAUGCAGUCGGAGAGAUUGAGGUCUGCAGCGUAGAUCCUUCGGGGCUAAAUGCAUUUGUGCUAAGUUAUAGCAUUUCAUAGACAACUUGUUGACUAUGAUUUGUCUUGUAGCUUACUCGCUUAUGUUAUUUUACCUACGCUUAGGAUGUUGAUAUGCAUGACUGAUAU
Molecule: ribosomal RNA, 774 nt
Filed under: uncultured Neocallimastigales
Lineage: Eukaryota; Fungi; Neocallimastigomycota; Neocallimastigomycetes; Neocallimastigales
Description: partial large subunit ribosomal RNA
Rfam family: Eukaryotic large subunit ribosomal RNA
Source: RNAcentral